Molecule: ribosomal RNA, 250 nt
Filed under: uncultured prokaryote
Description: partial 16S ribosomal RNA
Rfam family: Bacterial small subunit ribosomal RNA
Source: RNAcentral
UACGAAGGGUGCAAGCGUUGUUCGGAAUUACUGGGCGUAAAGGGCGUGUAGGUGGAUGAGUCAGUCAGGAGUGAAAUCCCGGAGCUUAACUUCGGAAUUGCUUUUGAGACGGCUUAUCUAGAGUGUAUUAGGGGAUAAUGGAACACCCAGUGUAGAGGUGAAAUUCGUAGAUAUUGGGUAGAACACCGGAGGCGAAGGCGAUUAUCUGGGAUACAACUGACACUGAGGCGCGAAAGCGUGGGGAUCAAAC